Mus musculus (house mouse) is the source of this 638-nucleotide long non-coding RNA. RefSeq annotates it as predicted gene 6213. Lineage: Eukaryota; Metazoa; Chordata; Mammalia; Rodentia; Muridae. The record is from RefSeq and is marked predicted. The transcript is spliced from 4 exons.
AAAUAUUUCAGCUGUGAAAAGGCUUUAAUUUGCUCACUAGUUCCCCUUCUACGAAGAAUAGAAAAAGCAAGACCUACUUCAGGCAAAUUUAUGAUUCUAACUUUUGGCAAAUGGAGCCACUUCCAUUAAUCUUCCUGUGCAUUUGAACCUUAGCAGGACUCUAUAUAGCAGUCAGCGGCAUGGAUAACGACCCUUCUGCCUGCAAACUCGCUUUUAGAUGAGAACACAAGCUCCUAAGCCGGGAGUGAACUUAGAUCUCUGUCUACUGUGUGGGUUAUGGAGCUCAAGCUCGGCAGCAUGUGACUUUAACUGCCAGCCCCUGAGGAGGAAGAAGCUUCUGCCCGAUUCUCUUUUGCCAUUGGGUGCCCAGCUGUCGGAUGCUCAGCCAUUGGGUGAUCAGCAUUUGUUGAUAAGGCAGAGAACAAAUGGUACUAAUUUCCUCAUGUUAUUUUCCUGACUGAAGAUCAGCUAUGAGAUCACCUGUCUAUCCCCUAAGACUUCCUGAUAUUUUCUGUGUUGACAUAGUGUGCAUUCUAGUUAAGAUGUGUACCUUAAGAUAGAACGUUGCUUUUAUCUCUGAGGUAUGUAGAAAAGAGCAAUUGUUUCAGACGUAUCUCUUGAGCCCAAUAAACUAGUUG